Molecule: ribosomal RNA, 249 nt
Filed under: Triticum aestivum (bread wheat)
Lineage: Eukaryota; Viridiplantae; Streptophyta; Magnoliopsida; Poales; Poaceae
Description: partial small subunit ribosomal RNA
Source: RNAcentral
AUGGCGUCCCCAAGUCGCACGGCCGCCACGCCCGCCGUCCUCCUCCUCCUGCUCCUGCUUGUCGCCACAGAGAUGGGGACGACCAAGGUGGUGGAGGCCCGGACGUGCCUGUCGCAGAGCCACAAGUUCAAGGGCACCUGCCUCAGCGACAGCAACUGCGCCGGCGUGUGCCGCACCGAGAACUUCCCCGACGGCGAGUGCAACUCCCACCGCCUCGAGCGCAAGUGCUUCUGCAAGCGGACCUGCUAA